AACGAACGCUGGCGGCAGGCUUAACACAUGCAAGUCGAACGCCCCGCAAGGGGAGUGGCAGACGGGUGAGUAACGCGUGGGAAUCUACCCAGAUCUUCGGAACAACACAGGGAAACUUGUGCUAAUACCGGAUACGCCCUACGGGUGAAAGAUUUAUCGGAUUUGGAUGAGCCCGCGUUGGAUUAGCUAGUUGGUGAGGUAAGGGCUCACCAAGGCUACGAGCCAUAGCUGGUCUGAGAGGAUGAUCAGCUACACUGGGCCUGAGACACGGCCCGGGCUCCUCGGGAUGGCGGCAGUGGGGAAUAUUGGACAACGGGCGAAAGACUGAGCCAGCCAGGCCGCGUGAGUGAGGAAGGCCUUAGGGUUGUAAAGCUCGUUUAGUGGGGAAGAUAAUGACGGUACCCGCAGAAAAAGCCCCGGCUAACUUCGUGCCAGCCGCCGCCGUAA
Molecule: ribosomal RNA, 447 nt
Filed under: uncultured bacterium
Lineage: Bacteria
Description: partial 16S ribosomal RNA
Rfam family: Bacterial small subunit ribosomal RNA
Source: RNAcentral